This 440-nucleotide ribosomal RNA is filed under the name uncultured bacterium. Its description in RNAcentral is "partial 16S ribosomal RNA". It matches the Rfam family "Bacterial small subunit ribosomal RNA", at positions 338 to 795 of the family's 1533-position model. The record is from RNAcentral.
CCUACGGGAGGCAGCAGUGGGGAAUAUUGCACAAUGGGGGAAACCCUGAUGCAGCGACGCCGCGUGAGUGAAGAAGUAUUUCGGUAUGUAAAGCUCUAUCAGCAGGGAAGAAAAUGACGGUACCUGAUUAAGAAGCCCCGGCUAACUACGUGCCAGCAGCCGCGGUAAUACGUAGGGGGCAAGCGUUAUCCGGAUUUACUGGGUGUAAAGGGGGCGUAGACGGCAGCACAAGUCUGGAGUGAAAUGCCGGGGCUUAACCCCGGAACUGCUUUGGAAACUGUGCAGCUAGAGUGCAGGAGAGGUAAGUGGAAUUCCUAGUGUAGCGGUGAAAUGCGUAGAUAUUAGGAGGAACACCAGUGGCGAAGGCGGCUUACUGGACUGUAACUGACGUUGAGGCUCGAAAGCGUGGGGAGCAAACAGGAUUAGAUACUCUUGUAGUC